Molecule: long non-coding RNA, 2623 nt
Filed under: Homo sapiens (human)
Lineage: Eukaryota; Metazoa; Chordata; Mammalia; Primates; Hominidae
Description: HSALNT0195305
Source: RNAcentral
GUAACCCUGCGCUGGGUACCUGCCUUCCCUCUCCAGCUACCGGGGCGGGGCGCGGCGCGGCGCGGCGCGGCGCGGCGGGCUGCCCGGGUGGGGGAUGAAGAAAGCACGGCGGACCCAGGGCAGCGAAGCGCAGCUGCUAUCGACAACACUUACAGCCUCCAGAAAUGACCCUUGGUGCCGACUUGUCUGGAAGCCAUCAGGGUUAGUUUUGAAGCAGGAAUCUUCAAGUGGACCAGAGGACAGGGUCUCUCUUUGUUGCCUAGGCUGGAGUGCAGUGGAACGAACUUGGCUUAUUGAAGCAUUGACCACCUGGACCCAAGUGAUUCUCCUACCUUAGCCUCUUGAAUAGCUGUGACAACAGGUGUGCACUACCACACCCAGAUAAAUUUUGUAAUUUUUAUAGAGAGGGCAUUUGACCAUGUUGCCCAGGCUGGUCUCAAACUCCUGAGCUCAAGUGAUACUCCUGCCUCGGCCUCCCAAAGUGCUGGGAUUACAGAUGAAGAAAAUGAGGCACUGAGAGAUUACAUAACUUCCCUUGAGUCAUAUUUGCUUGUAAGUGGUAAGGCUGGAUGUUGAACCCAGGACAAAGGGAGCCCAGUGGAGGAUCCCUGGAGGAGCAAAUAGAAGAAACCCAAAAGGGACUUGAAAGCGGGUCCCCUCCCUCACCUGGAUUCCCAGUCCGAAGAGGAGGAAGCAUCCGCCCUCCUUCCCUCCUUCUGACCCACCCAGCCACCCACCCAAGGUGCCAUUAAAGUUAAUUGUUUUUACUGCCAGUUUAACAUAGUCUUGUAAAUCUUUUUACGAUGUGGCCGGGGAACACCGAGCUGCAUGCAGGACUCAAUGGAGUUGGAGCACAGGAGCGUGGCCCCAGAGCUAUCUGGAGGGUGUAAAAUGGGAGCGCCACGUCUCUCCAGGGGCACCCUCUUCCCUCCUCCUGGAGCACCAGGCCCAAGACCCUCAUCUGAGUGGCAGUUCUCCCAGGCGAGGCUAGGAUUGUGCCUGGAAUGCUAAGAUCCUCCAGGUCACCCCCACUGUUUCGAGAGGCCAUCCCUCUUGACUCUAAGUUGUGGAAUCCUCCAGAAUCCGAGGCCUCCAAGCCCUGGAGAGAGGUUCUGGAUCCUUCAGAAAGGUUGAGGGGUGAUUCCCAUAUAGAAAGCUUGGCGCUGGGUCUCUCCAUUUGCCCACCAAGGACCGGCAGGCAAAAGCACUGCAAGGUGGACGUUUAGGGGUAUGAGGGGCGCACAUUCCAUGGCGCAGGGACUCUGGAGGUGCAGGUCUUCUACGAAGGUGAUUCCGCCAUUUCCCAGCCAUUACCAGCGGAGAGAGCUGAGUCUUCCUGAACAGCGCCUUUAAGCUGGUUUGUCCCAGGUUGGUGGAGCGGGACUCAGCGGUUUCUGUCCCUUGGGUAGACCUUGGCUUCCAUCUGUCUGGGUACAGGCACGAUUUCCCUCUCCCGGUUCCUGGCAUCCCCAUUGUGAGCCAUCCAUGUCAAAAUAAGGGUCUUAACUCCCACCGUUGUCACUAGCAUUAAACAGACACUCCUAAUGUGCCCAGAAAAAUGCCAGGCGCACGCUAAACAUCUGUAAACCACGGUGACAGCUCUAAGCGUUCAUGAUUAAGCCCAAAUAUUUAUUAGGCACUGGUGUGCAAGCCUUGUGUAAGUGCUGAGGACACACAGAGAAGAACGACGUACUUUCCUCUAAAGAGGGUUUUUUGUUAUUGACAAAGGAACCUAGAGGGCAUCAACGCAACACACAGAGCAGUCCUUCCCAAAACAUACCCCGGGAACCGGUUAGAAAUGCGCAUUCUCAGGCCCAGCUGAGACCAAUUGAAUGAGGUGUCCGGGAGCGGGGCCCAGAAUUCCUGUUUUAACAAAGCCCCCACGUGAUUGUGAGCUCCUUAAGGUUCGAGAACCCUGAUGCAGUGAACGCAGGCGCAGGCUCUGGAGUGAGAAAUUGUGGGUUUUCAUCUCCUUGCAUCUAUGUUGUGGGGCUUUGACCAAGAAAUGGUAACAAACUCAGAAGGGGAGAAGGGGAAAGAGAGUGGAUGGAGUAGGGGCGGUGAGAAGGAAGACAAGGGAAUAACCAGCCCUCUUCCCAACAGGGCUUCCUCGAUCAGAGGCCGAAUUUCCGAGCAGGAUAGACCAGGGGGCUCGAACUAAUAAUUCUGAGGGGUCAGAAAGGCCUCUCAAAACGCGCCGCGAUUUGAAACCUGCAAACGCGGGGUUCAGGUCGGCUCCGUUUCUUCCAAGCAGCCUGCCUUUGGGGCACCCAACCCUUCCCAAGCCUCGGUUUUCCCGAUCUUGUGGGAUCCUUGCGGCGCGAAUGGGGUUGGAAGCACCUUGGAAGCUACAGAGUACCGGGUCGGGACAAUUUCCGGCACUGCCCCAGUUCAGUGGUUUAUAGAAAAUUUCUUUCUCUCUCUCAGGUCCACUAAGACCGAGAGAGAGAGAGAAGUCGACUCUGGCACACCCGGGCGAGGGGCUGCCGGGAUUCGGGAGCUGGCGCGGUUGAUUUUUUCCGAGAAUCCUCCACUUGGGGUGACGUCGGGCAGCGCGCGCGGGCCGUGAGGUUAAUGCCCAGGCUUUUCUCUAAAGCGUCCGGGAAUGAUCCGGCGAAUAAAA